GUAGCAUGCAGUGCAGAAUAGGUCUGUUGGACGAAUCUGCGAAUAGCUCAUUACAGUGCUGAUCAAGGACUCAGUUUUGUGCCAUUCGGAUACCCACGGAAAAUCUGUGAGUAAUACGUGAGGCCACCAAUCGGUCAAUCCGCCAUAAGAUUGAACCAACGCUAAAUUGUCAUUCUGGCGGACGCAUUGCAAAUCUGCAGGAAACUGAUUCUGUUUGUAUCCUAUCAGCUUCGUUGGUAGAAUAGGGGUCUACCAAGGCUACUACGGGUUACGGGGAAUUAGGGUUUGAUUCCGGAGAGGGAGCCUGAGAAAUGGCUACCACAUCUAAGGAUGGCAGCAGGCGCGCAAAUUACCCAAUCCCCACUGGGGGAGGUAGUGAGUGAAAAUAACGGCGUCCCAUAUUUUGGGGUGACUGUAAUGACAUGAAAUUAUAACCAUCGUGAAACAUCCAUUGGAGGAAAGUUCUGGGUAAAAAACAGGGCUAGUAAAUGGUAAUUAGCCGAUGUAUCCUGAUAAAAAGGAAGCGAAUUCGGUCCCUUGGCCGAGCACCCG
RNAcentral lists this ribosomal RNA (552 nucleotides) under uncultured eukaryote. RNAcentral describes it as "bacterial SSU rRNA". It matches the Rfam family "Eukaryotic small subunit ribosomal RNA", at positions 45 to 587 of the family's 1831-position model. The record is from RNAcentral.